This 1544-nucleotide long non-coding RNA is filed under the name Cicer arietinum (chickpea). RNAcentral describes it as "long non-coding RNA (CARI_LNC001319)". The record is from RNAcentral. Lineage: Eukaryota; Viridiplantae; Streptophyta; Magnoliopsida; Fabales; Fabaceae.
CCAAAAAUUUAUUUAAAUAGAGGUUUAAUAUUAAAGAGCUUAGUAUGAGAUUUUUAGUAUGAGAUUUUUAAAAGGAAUUUUGGACUUUGAGCUUAAUCGACGGCUUUAAUUGGAGCAGUUAUCCUUACGCUUUGAUCAGCUAAGAUAAGAAAUUAAGAAAAAAUGAAAAAGUAUGAGAAGAUAAAAAUAUGUGAGAAAUAUAAUAGAAAAAUGAUAUUAUUUAAUAUAAAAUAAAUAAGAGUGAAAUAAAAGAGAGAGAGAAGUAUAUUGUUUUCUCUUCCUUUGUUUGGUUCAAGAAGAGAGAAAUGUAAAUUUUAUAGACAUUGAGAGAAAUACCCCUAUUUUAUAUAGUAAAAUAAUUCAUACCUUUAAAUUCCAAAUCUACCCAUCACCGCGAAUGAAGAGAGACUCCAGCAAAUUGAUUUUGGUCGGUUGUGACUCAACGCAAUGGCGGUGCACGCGGUGGUAAUAUUUUGGCCAAAACGCAAUAGCGUUGUGAUAGUUAACGGCACCGAUGGUGGUGGCACAAGCUUCCAACCUCCACCUUCUCUGUUUCUUCCUUCUUCUUCAAAUUCUAUGCUUUCAUUUCAUCGAAAAUCUUGCAAUAUUCUCACCAACAAGCUCCAUGUAUUAGAAAUUUAACUUCAAUGUUCAACGAUUUGUUUCAAUACCUAUAUACCCUAUUUACUUUAACAUGAUGAGAUGCAGCCCUUUCAUCAAAGUUAGAGGGAAAAAAAGGGAGAAUACAAGGACAAUAUACGAAUCAUAAAUUUUGUGAGAGCAUUUCUCUGCUAUCCAAUCAGAAGUUCCACAUGUUUCCUCUCUCCUCUAAUUCAAUCAAACCAAACACAAAUCCUCGAAAUUAUUACUAGAACUAUUUUUUUUAAUGUACCUAAACUUUGUUGGAGAGUCUUAACGGAUGGAGGGAGGGAGCAUAUCGAGAUAUACAAGGAAGUUAGUUUAAAUAAGUUUUGUUUUGAAUAGGCAAAAUUUAUUGAAUUAAUAAGAUAGUAAUAACUUUGGUUUAAAUAACUUGUAAACAUAUCAUACAAUGUCCUUAGACUAAAUGAAAUGAGUGUUUCAAUUUUUAAAAUUUGUAAAGGUUCAUCAAUUUAGCAUCUUAAAUUUGUGAAAUAGAAAUUUAAUCCCUUAAAUUGAAAAAUAUAGUCAAUUUAGACAUUGUUUCAUAUUUAGCACUACAAUAUUAAAGGCUCAAGCUGGGUCAACAAAUUGGAUUAAUUAUUAUUUUUAUGGAUAAAAAGAGGGCCAACGCCCGAGGAAAAGAAAUCAAAACAUAAUAAUCAAACAAGGAGUAGAGACUCUAUCAGGAUAUGCUAACAAAAAAUGUAUAACUCGAGCUGAAUAUAGCUAUUGACCUAAAAACAGCUGGACAAAGCUCAUACACAAGCAAAGAAAAACCACCCCCAUAACCCAUAUUUGCCAUUAUAGCAGUACAAGAGUUAGCUUCGCAGUAUGAGAGGCAGUCAAAUUAACGAUUGUUUUACUGAUUUUUGGGACUUUCUUCUCCACAGUUAGUCACUUUU